RNAcentral lists this ribosomal RNA (765 nucleotides) under uncultured organism. RNAcentral's name for it is "bacterial SSU rRNA". It matches the Rfam family "Bacterial small subunit ribosomal RNA", at positions 710 to 1487 of the family's 1533-position model. The record is from RNAcentral.
CAGUGGCGAAGGCCGUGCUCUGGGGUGGGCCUGACGCUGAGAGACGAAAGCUAGGGGAGCGAACAGGAUUAGAGACCCUGGUAGUCCUAGCCUUUAACGAUGGAUGCUAGGUUUGGGGCCGAGAAGGCUCUGUGCCGCAGUUAACGCGCUAAGCAUCCCGCCUGGGGAUUACGGCCGCAAGGCUAAAACUCAAACGAAUUGACGGGGCCCCGCACAAGCAGCGGAGCGUGUGGUUUAAUUCGAUGCUACACGAAGAACCUUACCUGGGUUUGACAUGUACGUGGUAGAGAAGCGAAAGCGGAUCGACCCUUCGGGGAGCGUACACAGGUGCUGCAUGGCUGUUGUCAGCUCGUGCCGUGAGGUGUCGGGUUAAGUCCCGUAACGAGCGCAACCCUUGCCCUUAGUUACAAGUGUCUAAGGGGACUGCCGGCGGUAAGCCGGAGGAAGGUGGGGAUGACGUCAAGUCAGCAUGGCCCUUAUAUCCAGGGCUACACACACGCUACAAUGGUCAGUACAAAGGGCACCGAAGCCGCGAGGUGAAACGCAUCCCCACACAGCUGAUCUAAGUUCGGAUUGCAGGCUGCAAAUCGCCUGCAUGAAGCUGGAGUUGCUAGUAUCCGUGCGUGACCUAUAGUGCGCUGAUACGUUCCCGGGGCUUGUACACACCGCCCGUCACGUCAUGGGAGUCGGUAACGCCUGAAGCUGGUAGUCUGGCCCGCAAGGGGGGACGCCAUCAAAGGCGGGGCUGGCAACUGGGACGAAGUC